UACGGGGGGGGCAAGCGUUGUUCGGAAUUAUUGGGCGUAAAGGGCGCGCAGGCGGUAAGAUAAGUCAGACGUGAAAGCCCUCGGCUUAACCGAGGAAUUGCGUUUGAAACUGUUUUGCUUGAGUACAGGAGAGGAGAGUGGAAUUCCCAGUGUAGCGGUGAAAUGCGUAGAUAUUGGGAGGAACACCGGUGGCGAAGGCGGCUCUCUGGACUGUUACUGACGCUGAGGCGCGAAAGCAUGGGGAGCAAACGGG
Molecule: ribosomal RNA, 253 nt
Filed under: uncultured bacterium
Lineage: Bacteria
Description: partial 16S ribosomal RNA
Rfam family: Bacterial small subunit ribosomal RNA
Source: RNAcentral